This is a small nuclear RNA of Syngnathoides biaculeatus (alligator pipefish), 164 nucleotides long. RefSeq annotates it as U1 spliceosomal RNA. Lineage: Eukaryota; Metazoa; Chordata; Actinopteri; Syngnathiformes; Syngnathidae. The record is from RefSeq and is a predicted model, not a curated record. The transcript has a single exon.
AUACUUACCUGGCAGGGGAGAUAUCAUGAUCAAGAAGGUGGUUCUCCCAGGGUGAGGCUCAACCAUUGCACCUGGUUUGUGCUGACCCCUGUGAAUUCCCCACAUGUGGGAAUCUCGAUUGCAUAAUUUCUAGUGGUGGGGGACUGCGUUCGCCCUCUCCCCUG